UACGAAGGGGGCUAGCGUUGCUCGGAAUCACUGGGCUUAAAGCGUGUGUAGGCGGACGCCUAAGUGUCUUGUGAAAUCCCACGGCUCACCCGUGGAACUGCUGGGCAUACUGGGCGUCUUGGGCCAACUAGGGGCAGCCGGAACAAGCGGUGGAGCGGUGAAAUGCGUAGAUAUCGCUUGGAACGCCGAAGGUGAAAACAGGCUGCUGGGGUUGUGCCGACGCUGAGACACGAAAGCCAGGGGAGCAAACGGG
RNAcentral lists this ribosomal RNA (253 nucleotides) under uncultured bacterium. RNAcentral's name for it is "partial 16S ribosomal RNA". It matches the Rfam family "Bacterial small subunit ribosomal RNA", at positions 524 to 776 of the family's 1533-position model. The record is from RNAcentral.